CCAGACUCCUACGGGAGGCAGCAGUGGGGGAUAUUGCACAAUGGGGGGAACCCUGAUGCAGCGACGCCGCGUGGGUGACGAAGUAUUUCGGUAUGUAAAGCCCUAUCAGCAGGGAAGAAGAUGACAGUACCUGACUAAGAAGCCCCGGCUAACUACGUGCCAGCAGCCGCGGUAAUACGUAGGGGGCAAGCGUUAUCCGGAUUUACUGGGUGUAAAGGGAGCGUAGGUGGCAUGGCAAGCCAGAAGUGAAAACCCGGGGCUUAACCCCGCGGAUUGCUUUUGGAACUGUCAGGCUGGAGUGCAGGAGGGGCAGGCGGAAUUCCUGGUGUAGCGGUGAAAUGCGUAGAUAUCAGGAGGAACACCGGUGGCGAAGGCGGCCUGCUGGACUGUAACUGACACUGAGGCUCGAAAGCGUGGGGAGCAAACAGGAUUAGAUACCCUCGUA
Molecule: ribosomal RNA, 445 nt
Filed under: uncultured bacterium
Lineage: Bacteria
Description: partial 16S ribosomal RNA
Rfam family: Bacterial small subunit ribosomal RNA
Source: RNAcentral